Pelobates cultripes (western spadefoot toad) is the source of this 77-nucleotide non-coding RNA. Lineage: Eukaryota; Metazoa; Chordata; Amphibia; Anura; Pelobatidae. The record is from the annotation of a GenBank genome assembly.
UGUCUGUAUGUGUGUGUGUCUCUGUAUGUAUGAGUCUGUAUGAUACAUACAUACAGAGAAACACACAUACAGACACA